UACGUAGGGGGCGAGCGUUGUCCGGAUUUACUGGGCGUAAAGAGCGCGCAGGCGGUCGGUCAAGUCGCGUGUGAAAGCCCCCGGCUCAACUGGGGAGGGUCACGCGAUACUGAUCGACUCGAAGGCAGGAGAGGGGAGUGGAAUUCCCGGUGUAGUGGUGAAAUGCGUAGAUAUCGGGAGGAACACCAGUGGCGAAGGCGACUACCUGGCCUGUUCUUGACGCUGAGGCGCGAAAGCGAGGGGAGCAAACGGG
RNAcentral lists this ribosomal RNA (253 nucleotides) under uncultured bacterium. RNAcentral describes it as "partial 16S ribosomal RNA". It matches the Rfam family "Bacterial small subunit ribosomal RNA", at positions 524 to 776 of the family's 1533-position model. The record is from RNAcentral.